CGUGUAGGCGGCUUGGUAAGCGGUCUGCGAAAUCCCGGGGCUCAACCCCGGAACUGCAGACCGAACUGCCGAGCUAGAGAACGAGAGGGGACUGUGGAACUCUAGGUGGAGCGGUGAAAUGCGUAGAUAUCUAGAGGAACACCGGUGGCGAAAGCGACAGUCUGGCUCGUUUCUGACGCUGAGGCGCGAAAGCGUGGGUAGCAAACAGGAUUAGAUACCCUGGUAGUCC
Molecule: ribosomal RNA, 229 nt
Filed under: uncultured bacterium
Lineage: Bacteria
Description: partial 16S ribosomal RNA
Rfam family: Bacterial small subunit ribosomal RNA
Source: RNAcentral